RNAcentral lists this ribosomal RNA (497 nucleotides) under uncultured bacterium. RNAcentral describes it as "partial 16S ribosomal RNA". It matches the Rfam family "Bacterial small subunit ribosomal RNA", at positions 28 to 507 of the family's 1533-position model. The record is from RNAcentral.
GAUGAACGCUGGCGGCGUGCCUAAUACAUGCAAGUCGAGCGAACAGACGAGGAGCUUGCUCCUCUGACGUUAGCGGCGGACGGGUGAGUAACACGUGGAUAACCUACCUAUAAGACUGGGAUAACUUCGGGAAACCGGAGCUAAUACCGGAUAAUAUCUUUAACCGCAUGGUUCAAGAGUGAAAGACGGGUUUGCUGUCACUUAUAGAUGGAUCCGCGCCGAAUUGGCUAGUUGGUAAGGUAACGGCUUACCAAGGCGACGAUGCGUAGCCGACCUGAGGGGGUGAUCGGCCACACUGGAACUGAGAAACGGUCCAGACUCCUACGGGAGGCAGCAGUAGGGAAUCUUCCGCAAUGGGCGAAAGCCUGACGGAGCAACGCCGCGUGAGUGAUGAAGGUCUUCGGUUCGUAAAACUCUGUUAUUGGGGAAGAACAAAUGUGUAAGUGACUAUGCACGUCUUGACGGUACCUAAUCAGAAAGCCACGGCUAACUACGUG